Beta vulgaris subsp. vulgaris (sugar beet) is the source of this 3012-nucleotide RNA transcript. It is a transcript of the gene named phosphoinositide phosphatase SAC4-like, with no coding region annotated. The transcript is spliced from 6 exons. NCBI's taxonomy places the organism in Eukaryota, Viridiplantae, Streptophyta, Magnoliopsida, Caryophyllales, Amaranthaceae. The record is from RefSeq and is a predicted model, not a curated record.
AAAAACACGACCCACCUCACAUCACAAUUCACAAGUCACAACCCUAUCUCUUUUUACGUCUUCUUUCUCGCACUUCUUUUCUUCUUCCUCUCUAUUUUUUUCUCUCUCACCGUCGACGGUCUUCAAUGGUCUGCUACCACACUUUCUUUGAUUUGAAGGAGGUUCGAUCGAUUUCUCACCGUCGCAGGUUUUCAUUUUAGGGUUCAUAUUGGCUUUUGCAUCUUGGCUGCACCUAUUGUCUUCAAGGGGAAAUCUCUUACAUAAGUGUACAUGUCUAUGAGUUUAUUUCUGUACACUUUGAUCUUUAUGUUUUCUAUGGUGCGACCGUGUAUCUGCUUUAUCUUUAUGUGAUUAAGCAAUUUAAGACUGUCAUGAUUUUAUUAAAAGCUUAACUCUCCAGCAUGCACUAUGGCUGACUGUUUAAUUGGUAUAUGUGCUAACCAAUUGCAUUAUUGUACUUAAACAUAGUAGAGUGCUAACUAACACUUGUACUGUUAUUGUAUGUAUGUGUUUUAUAUGGAUGGUGAUAGAUGUUUAAGGACACUAUGAAAUCUUAUGAUCUCUCGUUAUAAUUUGGUGUUUUUCUUUGAAAAAGACAUGUGAUCGAACAUCCCUUCUGUGGCUGUGACACUAGACACACUGCAUUUUGCAUCCUCGCAUGCGAUUUCUAGUCACUCCCAUCCUAACUGCAUGCUAUAUUAUGCUCAUGCAUGCUUAUUUUUGGUAUCCUUUUACUUGGCUCUUUUCCAAUUUUGGUUGUUUCUCCUUGUAGUUAAGUGUAUGCUGUUAGAAUCUUAAACUUAGACAUAUUCAACAAUCACCCAAUAUAAUGUACCUUGCAGAAAUCACUAGAUAAUAAGUAGUAAGAACAAAAAUAAUAGUAUGUAGAAACAUUAACAUGAUAUUAGAAGUUAGAAGUCAAGAGUUGAGAUGAGACCACCAAGUUAAGAGUUUGGUUAAUAUAUGAAUUGAUGACGCAAGAUGUAUAUCAGUUAUCACUGGCUAGAGUAUCAUAAUUAAGAAGCAUAUAUAAAUACACUUGAUUUAUCUCUUUUGGAACUUAGGACUCUCAAAACUCACUGAUAAUUGUAUGCACAAACUACUCAACAUCAUUAUGUGCAUAGUGAACAUAACUAGUUUAUAAUCUAAGUCUAAUUGGCCAUUUACUAAGCUCUGACAAUAAGUUUUCAGUUUACAUAAGACAUUCAACCAUGUAUGGUAUACAAUUUUACUAGAUUUGUACUUAAAUUGGUAGUAUUAUUUUACUAGACACUUGCAUUAUUGCAAGGAGACAACUAGCACUUUGUUGUUUUGAAGCUCUAGAUCAUUGUCUUGAAAGUUACAAUGUGGAAAACCUGGGUAUUGUUGUUCCAACAACUGGUGUCUCGUAGAACUAGCUGAACCUACCAUUCAUAUUUUGCUUUGUGUCAAUAUGUUUAUUUACUUGUUCAUUCUUCCAUAUAUGCAUUUUGAUAUAUGUACUGCUAUUUAUUAAAUUAUUUAUGCUUUAUAUCGAAAUCUUAAUUUUACUUUUCAAGAAAUCCUUUUCAUGUUUCGAUUGAUUUUGAUUCUAAACCUGGCAAUAUUUGAGUUGUUGCAUGCUGGAAAGUACAUAUAGCCAGUUAAACAGUCUUGUUCAAUGUAUCUUAAAGGACCUUGUGGGAUGUGUGGGAGUUAUUUUCUUGUUGCUAGGUAGAAAAUGUGAGAUGUCUUUGCUUUUCUUAUUUCUGAAGUUUUCAAAUAUUUAUGGUUGCUGACACUUCUCUGUUUUGCUAUGAAUUAUAAGAAACUCGGAUGCAAAAUAACUCUCCUAGACAGAGAAUCUGAUGGUUUUAAGAUGAUCAUCAACUAUCUGGAGAAGACAUAUGAACCCAUUAAAGUUGGCGAAAUUAGUUAUGAUGUUUCUGUGGAGAACAUCCUUGCUGUUGAUUUGAGCGCUGGACCAUCUUAUGAGGAGAUAAAGUAGUUGCCAAACAAAGUCCUAUUAUGGUGUGAUAAUAUUGGGAUUCCAGUCCAUUUUGAUACGGAUAUACCUCAUACUAGAGUGUUCAAAAAUUCCAUGCUCAAUGAGCUGCUGCCUGAUUGCAUAACCAGCUCAUUGUAUAGCCAAGGGCCAUCUUUUUUCCCCACUGUCGGUCACAAGCUAGGGACAACUGACCUCUUCGCAUCAAGUGAAAGAAAGAUAUUCUCGAAGAUCAGGGUUCAAUCCAAUGUGGCAACACACAUUCAGGAGUCUAUAAAAAGCAUUCAACGUUAUUGCAACAAUUCCUUCAUGGGGGUCACCAAGCAACAAGCUAUCGAUAUAUUCUUGGGGAAUUUCCGGCCUGAAGUUGUUGAAAUGACUUCAUCGAAAAGCAGUUCAGAUCAAAAGGAAAAUUGUGGGUGUCUUAAAGCUUUAUACUUGAAAAACUUAUCCAGGUACAAAAGCAAUUUGCUAUGAUACCAAGUUGAUGCAGGACACAGGACGCUUUGCUUCUCUUAUCAUCAUGCAUUCAUAAUAGUUGAGAUAAAUUCCUGAUUCAGUAAGAUUUGAUCUCACUGUUAUCUGCAUGUGUAACUUAUGCAUCUAUUCUGGUUUCGAAAGGCUCGGGCUUCAAGAUGAUGCUCAUAAACGUGGUUCCCGGUUCUUGACGGGACCAUCUGGACGCUCUCGGCAUGACUCAAAUGAAGGGUAGGUUUGCAUAUAUGUAGGCUGUAGCAAAGAAUGCUGCAGGAAUCAGAUUGAUGUACCACAGCUGAAAAUGUCAGCCAAGACAAAGAUGAGAAUAGGUGGCUGGCGCGGUGGAGGGUGGCUGAUGCGGCGGAGAUGUGGCUGAUGAACUGGUGAGGUUUCUGGUGGUGCGGUGGCUGGCCCGGUGGUGCAGUACCUCGGCAUUAGCAGUGGCUCAGACUAGUAUUAGAUUGAAGUUGUAUUAGAUUUUAGUUACAAUGUAAUUAUACUAUUAUAAUACUAAAUUUUGGUAUUAGAUUAUAAUUAUAUAUUUAAUUUAAAUAAAAUUCUCAUUUGUUUAA